RNAcentral lists this ribosomal RNA (424 nucleotides) under Fusobacteriota bacterium. RNAcentral's name for it is "Fusobacteria bacterium partial 16S ribosomal RNA". It matches the Rfam family "Bacterial small subunit ribosomal RNA", at positions 355 to 776 of the family's 1533-position model. Lineage: Bacteria; Fusobacteriati; Fusobacteriota. The record is from RNAcentral.
UGAGGAAUAUUGGUCAAUGGGCGAGAGCCUGAACCAGCCAAGUAGCGUGCAGGAUGACGGCCCUAUGGGUUGUAAACUGCUUUUAUGUGGGGAUAAAGUGCGUGACGUGUCAUGCAUUGCAGGUACCACAUGAAUAAGGACCGGCUAAUUCCGUGCCAGCAGCCGCGGUAAUACGGAAGGUCCGGGCGUUAUCCGGAUUUAUUGGGUUUAAAGGGAGCGUAGGCUGUCUAUUAAGCGUGUUGUGAAAUAUACCGGCUCAACCGGUGGCUUGCAGCGCGAACUGGUCGACUUGAGUAUGCAGGAAGUAGGCGGAAUUCAUUGUGUAGCGGUGAAAUGCUUAGAUAUCAUGACGAACUCCGGUUGCGCAGGCAGCUUACUGUAGCAUAACUGACGCUGAUGCUCGAAAGUGCGGGUAUCAAGCAGG